GGAAAAUAUUUGUACGCCAAGAAAUGGUCGGUCAGGAAUACAUAAGUCCUUGCUAUCGAAUGGUCGGUCGGGAAAGAUCAUAUUCCCAUCCAGCGAUCGGUCGGAAAAUAUUGCCAACCAACAAGGGGUAGUAAACGGGCCUGCGCGCGUGGUCGAAAACUUUUAGCGCGCCCCGGCCGUGAAUUUUUGUCUCUCAACCAAAUACUACAGAGGGCGCCUCACUCAAUCCCCUUUCUCCUCAUCUCGAUCCACCCCUAGGAUUCCGAUUCACGCCGCCGCUAGGAUUCCGAUUCACGCCGCCGCCGCUGCUAGGAUUCCGAUUCAAGCUGCCGCUGCCGUCGACGGCCAUCGCGGGAGGCGUCCCUGCUUCCACAUUGAUCCACGGCCGAAGUCGUUGCUCCUUCCACCACCGGCCACCUGAAUCGCGAGCGUGCGGUCCUCCUUCCACCGGCCGCCUACUGAGGCCACCUCGCCCGCUCCUUCCCAUGGCGCCACUUCCCCAACCCAUACCCAGCUCCCUUUCCCUCCUUUCCAUGGCAGAAGCUCUGAAGAGGGGGGGGGGGGGGGGGGCGGGCCAGCCCCCAUCCCCCCGGGGGCCCGAAAGGGGGGGGGGGGCCCCCCCCCCCNNNNNNNNNNNNNNNNNNNNNNNNNNNNNNNNNNNNNNNNGGGGGGCGCGGCAAGGGCCCUUAGCUCCCGGUGGCCUGAAGCAAGGGGUGCGGCCUCUGCUCCGUCAGUAUCUGGCGAACUAGACAUGGGUAAGAUCUUCCUCUCGCAUAUGGUCUCCCUCUUCUCCAGCCCAUCAGGAGGAAGAAAUGGGCAAGCG
This 823-nucleotide long non-coding RNA is filed under the name Hordeum vulgare. Its description in RNAcentral is "long non-coding RNA (HVUL_LNC004149)". Lineage: Eukaryota; Viridiplantae; Streptophyta; Magnoliopsida; Poales; Poaceae. The record is from RNAcentral.